UAACGCGAAGAACCUUACCAGCCCUUGACAUCCCGAUCGCGGAUUACAGAGAUGUUUUCCUUCAGUUCGGCUGGAUCGGAGACAGGUGCUGCAUGGCUGUCGUCAGCUCGUGUCGUGAGAUGUUGGGUUAAGUCCCGCAACGAGCGCAACCCUCGCCCUUAGUUGCCAGCAUUCAGUUGGGCACUCUAAGGGGACUGCCGGUGAUAAGCCGAGAGGAAGGUGGGGAUGACGUCAAGUCCUCAUGGCCCUUACGGGCUGGGCUACACACGUGCUACAAUGGUGGUGACAGUGGGCAGCGAGACAGCGAUGUCGAGCUAAUCUCCAAAAGCCAUCUCAGUUCGGAUUGCACUCUGCAACUCGAGUGCAUGAAGUUGGAAUCGCUAGUAAUCGCGGAUCGGCAUGCCGCGGUGAAUACGUUCCCGGGCCUUGUACACACCGA
This 439-nucleotide ribosomal RNA is filed under the name Sinorhizobium terangae. Its description in RNAcentral is "bacterial SSU rRNA". It matches the Rfam family "Bacterial small subunit ribosomal RNA", at positions 957 to 1393 of the family's 1533-position model. Lineage: Bacteria; Pseudomonadati; Pseudomonadota; Alphaproteobacteria; Hyphomicrobiales; Rhizobiaceae. The record is from RNAcentral.